CAGGUCUUGGUCCAGUUACAAAGACUUAAGCCCGGAGAACUUUGAUUUUACUACUAAUGGUCUGUCCAAUACCGACAGCAUGCUGUAGUCCCUGCCAAUCAUGAUUCUGCUGGUAUCCAGAGCACGGCAAGUGAGUAGACAGAUUUGCUGAGGAUUACAGAUGUCUCUGAGACACAGUAAAUGCCAUUGCUCCCACUGAAGAGAGGUCUUCGCUGGAGAUGCUAAGAUCUGCCCAUUGAUCUUUGUCUUUCAGAAGUCAAUGUCAGCCAUUAAACCAGCAAUGCCCAAUGGGUUUGGAACAGAAGGAAUUAGGCUGCUGAGCAUGUAAAAUUGUCAAUAAAAGUUUUAGAGAUCUAUA
This is a long non-coding RNA of Ornithorhynchus anatinus (platypus), 358 nucleotides long. RefSeq lists it as uncharacterized. The record is from RefSeq and is a predicted model, not a curated record. Lineage: Eukaryota; Metazoa; Chordata; Mammalia; Monotremata; Ornithorhynchidae. The transcript is spliced from 2 exons.